This 2656-nucleotide ribosomal RNA is filed under the name Marophrys sp. SRT127. RNAcentral's name for it is "large subunit ribosomal RNA". It matches the Rfam family "Bacterial large subunit ribosomal RNA", at positions 187 to 2794 of the family's 2925-position model. The record is from RNAcentral. Lineage: Eukaryota; Centroplasthelida; Acanthocystida.
GGAGAAUUGAAACAUCUAAGUAUCCUGUGGAAAAAAAAUCAACCGAGAUUCCACAAAUAGUGGCGAGCGAACGUGGACUGAACUGGGCCUCAAAAAAUCAACAUCUUUGGGUCCCAAAUGUGGCAAAGCCAUGCUUCUCACGCAGAAAUGUGCUGGAAAGCGCAGCCAAAGGAGGUGAAAGCCCUGUGCAGAAGAGAAGCAACAAAAUGGGUCAGCAUAGUAAAGCAGGGAACGAUUUAACCUGUUUGAACAUAGGGGUUUCACCCUCUAAAACCCAGGCAAAGCAUAUUUUCCAAUAACUGAUAGUGAACACAGUACCGUAAGGGAAAGGUGAAAAGAACCCAAAAAAGGGAGUGAAAUAGAACCUAAAAUCAAAUAUAUACAAGCAACAGGAACUCGAAAACACAGACAUAACCUUCAGGGUUUUCCUGCGGAACUGUUCAAUUUCGAGUGACUGUGUACCUUUUGCAUAAUGGGUCAGCGAGUUAAUCAGCGUAGCAAGCUUAAGUCACUAACAAAGACACAUGCGCAAUUAAUAUAAACCAAGUUGCGUUGAUUAGACCCGAAACCGGGUGAUCUAAUCAUGGACAGGUUGAAGAUACAGUAAAAUGUAUUGGAGGACCGAACUCAUGCAUGUUGCAAAAUGCUGGGAUGAUCUGUGAUUAGGGAUGAAAGGUCAAUCAAACCCGGAAAUAGCUGGUUUUCCGUGAAAACUAUUUAGGUAGUGCAUGGUAUGCAAACAGCAUGGGUAGAGCUACUGGAUAGGUAUCGGGUUGCACUGAGCUUUACUGAGCCAAACCAAACUCCGAAUGCAUGCUGCUGAACUGUCGGUGCGCUGCUUAGGCAGCGUUACGACGGUCGUAAACUAUACCAUAGACAGACUACGGGUGAUAAGAUCCGUGGUCGAGAGGGAAAAAGCCCAGAUUGUAUUCUAAGGUCCCUAAAUAAUAACUUAGUGGUGAAAGAUAUGGGAGAAUUAAGACAAUCAGAAGGUGGGCUUGGAAGCAGCCAUCCUUUAAAGAAAGCGUAAUAGCUCACUGACCGAAAUGGUUCUUCUGUGCUGAAAAUGAACGGGGCUCAAGUUAUUUACCGAAGAUACAAGCGUGCAUGUCACGCGGUAACGGAACGUUUUGUAUUUCGUCCAAUGUUGAAGGCUUUUUGACGGGAAGGUUUCGCGGAAGCGGAGCUGGAGAAAUCAAAAGUGAGAAUGCUGAUAUUAGUAGCGUAAACCGAUGUGAGAGACAUCGGGACCGAAAGUUUAAGGGUUUCUGUGUAAAGCUAAUCUUCAUAGAGAAAGUCGGUCCCUAAUCAAAGAGCGAAAGCUGUAUGAGAUGGGAAUUCCAUUUAUAGAUUUGGAAACCGAUCGGGACGUGACGGGGAAACCUGAAGGAAAAGCGGCUGGCCCUUUCAAGGGAUCGUACCAAGCCGAACGGAUUGUUUUUCCUGAUGCUAUCCUCCCGAGAAACAACACCGAUGAACGACCGUACCCUAAACCGACUCUGGUAAACAAAUAGAGAAUAUUCAGGUUUUGAGAUAAUCAUAUUGAAGGAACUCGGCAAAAUGAUCCCGUAACUUCGGAAGAAGGGAUGCCGGCGCUUGCGAAAGCUUGUGUCGGUGUAAUAUAAUAGGGGAUAGCGACUGUUUAAUAAAAACACAGGUCUAUGCUAAGUUGCAAAACGACGUAUAUGGACUGACGUCUGCCCGGUGCUGAUAGGCUAAUGGGAGAGGUGUUUGCCUCGAACGUAAACCCCAGUAAACGGCGGCCAUAAUCCUGAUGGUCCAAAGGUAGCGAAAUUCCUUGACGGGUGAGUUCCGUCCUGCACGAAUGACGUAACGACUUUCCCACUGUCUCCAAUAUGAUCUCAGUGAAAUUGCAUUCUCCGUGAAGAUGCGGAGUUCCCGCGGCAAGACGGAAAGACCCUGUGCACCUUUACUAUAACCUUAUAAUGUUAAUGAAAUGAACGUGUGUAGGAUAGGUGGGAGCUUAGGAAAUCUCCAAGUGAGAGCGCGUGCAUUCGUUCUCUCACACUGUUAGAUUAUUGGCUUACGUGAAAGACCACCCGCUUCAUUUUCUUGUUAACUAACUGCAGUCCUUGAAUCUGGGCUUGGGACCUUUAUAAGGUGGGUAGUUUAACUGGGGCGGUUGUCUCCCAAAGAGUAACGGAGACGCGCAAAGGUAAGCUAAGGCUGGUCAGCUAUCAGCCUUUUAGUGUAAUGGCGUAAGCUUGCCUGACUGUAAGGCUUACACGCCGAACAGAGACGAAAGUCGGUCAUAGUGAUCCGGUGGUACUUUGUGAAAAGGCCAUCGCUCAACGGAUGAAAGGUACGCCAGGGAUAACAGGCUAAUGAUCUCCUAGAGCUCACAUCGACGAGAUCGUUUGGCACCUCGAUGUCGACUUAUCACAUCCUGGGGCUGAAGAAGGUCCCAAGGGUCAGGCUGUUCGCCUGCAUUAAAGUGGUACAUGAGUUGGGUUUAGAACGACGUGAGACAGUUUGGUCCCUAUCUACCGUGGGUAAAGAAGGAUUGAGGAAUAUUAUCGUUAGUACGAGAGGACCGCGGUAAAAAUACCAAUGGUGUAUCGGUUGUGAUGCCAAUUGCAAUGUCGAGUAGCUACGUAUUUAUAAAUAACUACUGAAAGCAUAUAAGUAGGAAGUU